Non-coding RNA from Heterocephalus glaber (naked mole-rat), 1507 nucleotides. Lineage: Eukaryota; Metazoa; Chordata; Mammalia; Rodentia; Bathyergidae. The record is from RefSeq and is a predicted model, not a curated record.
CACCAGGUGAGCUGCAUUUGGGACCUACCCCUCUGGAAAACACCUCCUCCACCCGGGUCUCGGCCUCUGGAGUCCGCUUUCAUCUGCCUGGGAAGAGAAUCCCAGGUCGGCCUCAUCUGCAGCUAGGGGGGAGAGCGUGGUCCUCAAAUCAGCGCCUAUGGGAGCCACCUGGGAGAAGUGCUUGGGACCACUGAGGAGGUGAAGAGACACCAGCCCAACACAUGGCUCAGUUCUGGGGGUCAGAAAUCCAAAAUGGGUCUCAGCAGGAAAAUCAAGGUGAGGAGCGGGGCUGUGUUUCCUCCCAGGGUUGGGCGUGGGGAAUGUUUGCUUGUGUUUCCCAGCAUUCAGAAGUCACCUGCAUUCCUUGGCUCAUGGCCCCCUGCUCCAUCUUCAAGCCAGCAAUGGCUGGCUGGGUCUUCCACAUCCUGUCAUUCUUGACGGCCCCUCCUGCCUCCCUGUUCCCUGUAUAAGGUCUCUCACCAUGGCACCGGGUCCCCCAGAUAAUCCAGGGCAGAGUCCCCCCAUUUCCAGGGGAGCCAAUUUGCAACCUUAUUCCUUUUCUAUGUAAUGCAACAGUCACAGCUUCUAUUCAUUAAGAUGUAAGCCUCUUUGGGAACGGAGCUUCCACAUCCUUCCACUUGUCUGCUGGUGUAGGAUGCUUCUCCCCACAUCCCAGGUAAGGACGAAAUAAAAAUUUCCCUUCAAUCCCCCGAACCAAAAACAACAACAACAACAAACAAACAAACCUUCCCCACUCAGAGCCCCUCCCAUCUGCAUGCUGAUCUGCACUGGCUCCUUUGAGGACACCCAUCCCUCUGUCAGGCCUGCCCCGAACUCCAUAUAAAGUGAUAGCGAAGUUAAAAUAGAUUUUGGGCCCCUCCCACCUCUUUCUGCUUCUCUGAUAAGUUUCUCAGACAACAAUGCAGUUUGAAGCCCUUCAGGGAUCAGCUUCCAUUUGCCCCCUGCACAUUCAAGUAACGGGUGACUAUUUAUAUAAAUAAUACAGAACCUUGCUCAAGCCACCCUGCCCAAAGAGCCCCGGGAUCCUAUUUUUAGUUGGCAGCCCCACCCCCACCUCUGUGGAGCUGUGGCCCUCUGAGAUCUGGAUACGGCUCCAGCCAAGGGUGGAGACAAAGAUCUGGUGGCUCAGAGGGGCACAGGGUGCAUCGCUGGCAGCUGGAGCACUGGGGUAGACACCUAGAGGGGCCCGUGCCAGGGGAUCAGGAGGACCCGAAUGUCCAGGUCAGGGUCGAAUUUAAAGCUCUCAGGAAAUGACGAGAAGGAGCCGUGAUUCUAAAAUGUCCCUGCCCAGAUCACCUCCCCAGACCAAGCAUAGGGGUAGGGGGCUGGACCCAGAGACUUCGCCCUCCCCAAACUGUCCAGAAACUGGUGCCCACUCUGCAGAUGAGGACACCGAGGUGCAGAGUGGCAGUACACUCAGCCCACAGGCACACGAGCGAGGGCAGAGCGCGGCUCCCAUAGCAGAUGAACCAUCAGUGCGCCUGGG